Molecule: ribosomal RNA, 492 nt
Filed under: uncultured bacterium
Lineage: Bacteria
Description: partial 16S ribosomal RNA
Rfam family: Bacterial small subunit ribosomal RNA
Source: RNAcentral
AGUGAACGCUGGCGGUAGGCCUAACACAUGCAAGUCGAACGGCAGCACAGUAAGAGCUUGCUCUUACGGGUGGCGAGUGGCGGACGGGUGAGGAAUACAUCGGAAUCUACUUUUUCGUGGGGGAUAACGUAGGGAAACUUACGCUAAUACCGCAUCCGACCUACGGGUGAAAGCAGGGGAUCUUCGGCCCUUGCGCGAUUGAAUGAGCCGAUGUCGGAUUAGCUAGUUGGCGGGGUAAAGGCCCACCAGGGCGACGAUCCGUAGCUGGUCUGAGAGGAUGAUCAGCCACACUGGAACUGAGACACGGUCCAGACUCCUACGGGAGGCAGCAGUGGGGAAUAUUGGACAAUGGGCGCAAGCCUGAUCCAGCCAUACCGCGUGGGUGAAGAAGGCCUUCGGGUUGUAAAGCCCUUUUGUUGGGAAAGAAAAGCAGCAGGUUAAUACCCCGCUGUUCUGACGGUACCCAAAGAAUAAGCACCGGCUAACUUCGUG